This 727-nucleotide ribosomal RNA is filed under the name Burkholderia sp. ICBR 037. RNAcentral describes it as "bacterial SSU rRNA". It matches the Rfam family "Bacterial small subunit ribosomal RNA", at positions 66 to 778 of the family's 1533-position model. Lineage: Bacteria; Pseudomonadati; Pseudomonadota; Betaproteobacteria; Burkholderiales; Burkholderiaceae. The record is from RNAcentral.
ACGGCAGCACGGGUGCUUGCACCYUGGUGGCGAGUGGCGAACGGGUUGAGUAAUACAUGCGGAACAUGUCCUGUAGUAGGGAGGAUAGCCCGGACGAAAGCCGGAUUAAUACCGCAUACGAUCUACGGAUAGAAAGCGGGGGACCUUCGGGCCUCGCGCUAUAGGGUUGGCCGAUGGCUGAUUAGCUAGUUGGUGGGGUAAAGGCCCACCAAGGCGACGAUCAGUAGCUGGUCUGAGAGGACGACCAGCCACACUGGGACUGAGACACGGCCCAGACUUCCUACGGGAGGCAGCAGUGGGGAAUUUUGGACAAUGGGCGAAAGCCUGAUCCAGCAAUGCCGCGUGUGUGAAGAAGGCCUUCGGGUUGUAAAGCACUUUUGCCCGGAAAGAAAUCCUGGAGGGCUAAUACCCUUCGGGGAUGACGGUACCGGAAGAAUAAGCACCGGCUAACUACGUGCCAGCAGCCGCGGUAAUACGUAGGGUGCGAGCGUUAAUCGGAAUUACUGGGCGUAAAGCGUGCGCAGGCGGUUUGUUAAGACCGAUGUGAAAUCCCCGGGCUCAACCUGGGAACUGCUUGGUGACUGGCAAGCUAGAGUAUGGCAGAGGGGGGUAGAAUUCCACGUGUAGCAGUGAAAUGCGUAGAGAUGUGGAGGAUACCGAUGGCGAAGGCAGCCCCCUGGGCCAAUACUGACGCUCAUGCACGAAAGCGUGGGAGAGCAAACAGGAU